This 373-nucleotide ribosomal RNA is filed under the name uncultured organism. RNAcentral's name for it is "partial 16S ribosomal RNA". It matches the Rfam family "Bacterial small subunit ribosomal RNA", at positions 527 to 896 of the family's 1533-position model. The record is from RNAcentral.
GUAGGUGGCAAGCGUUGUCCGGAAUUAUUGGGCGUAAAGCGCGCGCAGGCGGUUCUUUAAGUCUGAUGUGAAAGCCCACGGCUCAACCGUGGAGGGUCAUCGGAAACUGGAGAACUUGAGUACAGAAGAGGAAAGCGGAAUUCCACGUGUAGCGGUGAAAUGCGUAGAGAUGUGGAGGAACACCAGUGGCGAAGGCGGCUUUCUGGUCUGUAACUGACGCUGAGGCGCGAAAGCGUGGGGAGCAAACAGGGAUUAGAUACCCUGGUAGUCCACGCCGUAAACGAUGAGUGCUAAGUGUUAGGGGGUUUCCGCCCCCUUAGUGCUGCAGUUAACGCAUUAAGCACUCCGCCUGGGGAGUACGGCCGCAAGGCUG